UGAUAUUUGCUAAAUAUCCGAUGGAUACCCGCAUGAGUAUCAGCCACACUUACACUUUUUUUGCAAAUAUUUUUAAAUUUUUAAUUAAAAAAAAUAUGUAGACCUAUAAAUAUAUAAAAUGUAUAAAUGUGCGUGUAGUUGCAGCGCGUAAGUCAUAAAGUCCAUCUACUUCUUCAUCCGAUCUCUCAUCUAAAGUAAACUAAAGAGAAUCAAUAUUUCGUCUACCUUCAGUUGUGAUCAUGAGUUGCACACCUACCCUAUUGCCCAACUCCCUUCUCAACCCAAACAACUAGUGCCCAGCUCCCUUCUCUGCUGGCAAUUGCGUCGUGUUGUUACAACUGCUGCAAGGGCCGCUAAUUCUGCAGUCGCCACCGCCAUUGAUUCUACAACUAUUGUUGUUGUUGCUACUUCCACCGUUGAUUCUAUAGCUACUGUUGUCAUUGAUUCUAUAGCCGUUGCUGCCUCUGCCAUUGUUACUUUUGGAUAUUAGUUUUUGGUUUUUCUUUUAAUUAAUUGAAAACACUUUUGAGUUUUGAUGGACUUGUGUAUUUCAUACUUAAAUUUGAGUAAUUGUUGGAUUGAUGUUGAAAUUUUAAUUUUUU
Molecule: long non-coding RNA, 602 nt
Filed under: Citrus maxima (pomelo)
Lineage: Eukaryota; Viridiplantae; Streptophyta; Magnoliopsida; Sapindales; Rutaceae
Description: long non-coding RNA (CMAX_LNC003675)
Source: RNAcentral